UUGCACUUGAGUACUUGAGAACAGAGUUUGGAUUAGAUUCUUGAUGAGAAGUAAUAUCAGACGCAAUGGUAGCAAUACAAAGAGUAGUCAAGGUUCUGACUGUUCCAGAAAGCGUUGGCAUGGCUGGUACAUAGUUCCUUGCAGGUAUAGUUGUGAGGAAGGGCUACUUCCUAUACAAUAAACCAUAAUUAAAAUCGAGCAAUGCAUGUUAUUGGACAAGGAUUUAUUUUCUUUUUGUUAAAUCAUAGAAAAUUAGAGUUGAAAGAGACCUCAGGCGGUCAUCUAGUCCAACCCCCUGCUCAAAACAGAACCAACCCCAACUAAAUUAGCCCAGCCAGGGCUUUGUCAAUCUGAAUCUUAAAAAAUUCUAAGAAUGGAGAUUCCACCACCUUCCUUGACUUGUUCCAGUUUGCCCUCUAGUGGCUGACAUUUACAAAAUAUGGAUUUCUAGAAAAUAGUGCUACAUAAAGAUGCUUUAGAAAAGACUAGGAUGCAGGAUUUUAUUUAACCCUCUUGCCUGACCUAUGAUUUAAUUCUCUAUUUUCUUUUCUGUGAGCACACAACUAUUUGGGGAGGAGUUUUAUUACCCAUUGAUCCAAGUCCAAUGUGAACAAGCCUACUAUCCAGCUGCCCCUCUGCCUAGAAAGCAGAGGCAUGUAGCAAGCCACCAGCUCUCUCCAUCAUAAGACAACAGCAGGUGAUGGGAUGGGAGUAUGGGAGGGUCUCUUUACGUCGCCUGAUAUUUUGCUGUUGGAAUGUAUUCAUCCUGUUAAAGCAUAUUUUAUAAACACAUAUAGCUACCACGGUCCAACCUUGUCUUCAGGAUGACAAUAGUAAAAACACACUAAAAGUGUAUUAUAUCCCAUAAGUAUCAUACUGAGAUGCUUAACAAAAUGGAAAAACAAGAUAUAACUGACCUUCAAAGGUCUUUUGAGGUAAAUCAGAACAUCUUGGGGGGAAAAAAUGAAACCAAAUAGCUGUUGAGUUGCAAUGAAGCAUUUUCAGGGCUUUUCUCUCACCUUUCCUCAGUGUACCAUAUAAAACAAUUUUUAUUGCAAUUUCCAGCCCUGUAGAAUCAGACUAGUGUAUCAGCAUCAGUAUGUGUGUAUUCUGUUUUUCAUGCAUCAUUUAAAAGGAUCAUCUAAUAUUUCUGCAGUUGGGGCUCUUUUGUCAUUUUCUAGCUUGUGCUGAUGUUGAGGAGAGAAGCUGUUGUUUAAUAAUUUCAGCAGUGUUAACUCUACACAAACACUGAGAGAGAAGGGAAGAAGCUGGAGCAAUUCCUAGAGUGCUUUGGUAAGAUUUAGCCUGGAAAUUAUCAUUUUGUAACUCUUCUCAAGGGCUGAUUGUGAGUGAAUCCCAGCUGAUCUGCUGCAUGCAAAACACCACUUGAUUCAUGGCAGUUAGGUAAAAGAAUUUUUUAUCGAGCCUUUUUUUUCACUAUCUUCAGGGUCUUAGAGUGAAUUGCCUAUAGUGUUGUACCUGUUCUAGAUUACAGUGCGAUGACAGCCAUGUUGGUUGUGAUGAGGGACUUCCAAAGCUAAAAAUGUCAGCCUCUAUAGCAUGAACUACAGGAUUAAAUUUAUAUCUGGAAGCUAUGACAAACUCACAUCCUUCGUAGCACAGAGGGGGAUGUGUAACACACACGAAACUCUGGGUUAUAUAACUGCUAAUGUAGACAGUGCAAUGAAGACUUCUGCUCAAUGUGCAGCUGCAGUCAAAAAUCAAACACAAUGUUAAGAUUUGAAAGGAAGAGACGAUGAAUAAUACAGGGAAUAUUAUAAUGCCAUUAUAUCAAGCAGUGCUGUGAUCUCAUCUGGAAUCUUGUCACCUCAUCUCAGAAUAGACAUUGCUGAAUUAGAGAAGAUUCAGACAUGAAAAGAAAAACUCUCCUAGGAAAAGAGAUUGAAAAGAGUGGGAUUGUUUACCUCAGAAAGGAGACAAAUAAGAGGGAACAUAAUGAAUAGUAUGGAGAAGUUAGAUUGGGAACUUCUGUUCUCAUGGUCUCAUAACACAAAAAGAGGGGGAUAUUUAAUUAUCUGAAAUGGAAUCAAAUACAAAACUGAUAAAAGGAAAAAAUUCUGCACACAACACAUAGCUGGACAGUGGAGCUCAUCGUCACAGGAAAUUGUUGAGGCUAGGAGGACAAAGAAAACAUGAAAGCAAUAGCAGCUACAAUUGUAGAAUUUGUUCCUCACCGUGAAAGGGAAGAGGGUGCAACCACAAUGAAAUAUUGCAUAUUAUUAUUUCAUGUUAUGGCCAUAAUUAUAGGUGAGGUGUACAUACACCUCUACCCCGAUAUAACGCGACCCGAUAUAACACGAAUUCAGGGGGGAUCAAAUCAAGUUCAAUACAAUGUGGUUUCACCUGUAACAUGGUAAGAUUUUUUGGCUCCUAAGGACAGCGUUAUAUCGGGGUAGAGGUGUAUUUGCAAAUGUGAGGAGAUGCAUGAGGAAAAAAGUACAAAAGUGGGGGAGAGGGAUUGCAGAGGGACUAGUCAGUAUCUCAUGCAUUUGCUAUCAAUAUGUUUUGAAAUAUGUUUGAUUCAGAAGAAGAGUCCAAAGAUCAUAAAUGUGCAGGGGGCUGAAUCUUCGGCCGUCCCGGUUGUCGGUGGUAUUUUGGAGGCAGGACUUUCCGCCGCCUAGGGCGCCAAAAAAGCUGGUGGUGCUCCUGUAAAUGUGUCUUCAAAGUGGAAGAGACAGGCCCAGAAACUCAAAAGCAUCCCUUGUCCCAAUCCACUCAAUGCUUGGGCAAUGAUCCAAGGAGUUUUGGCCCAAUUGUGGCAGGGUGGAAAAUGAAUUCUGCAAAAAAAAUGUGUAGCUCCCAUGAAGUUAGACAUUAAACCACAAUGAAAACAAUUUUAAUAUAAUCCCAGGUGGAGAGGAAAGAGAAAGAGGGUGUGUAUUUUUAAAAAAUACAGGAUCAUCUACUCAGCUGAUGUGAAUUGAUGUAAUUCCACUGAAAUCAUCAGCAAAGAUUCUGGCCCCCAGCCUAGGUAAGGAACUGUUUACAAUCAUAAACUAAAGGAAAUAUUAUUACAAGAUAGCAUAGUCAGGGGAGGCAGAAUAAGGCUAAAAAAUUCCAAAGGCUUUGUCAGACAAACAUUUUAACACAAGAUCAAAUUUAACUCUUAAAGUUUAAUGAAUGGUUUCUAUUAGGAACUGCUGUAAGGUUUGAAUGGCUUUUUGCAUACUCUGUGUAUAGGAGGGGCCAUUUGUGCUUGGUUGCUGUCUGGUUGAAACAGCAUUAAAAAUUGACAUUCACUGUGUCUUGGUGAGUCAAUGAGGAGAAUGUGCAUUGGUGAAGUAGUGAAAUUAAAAUAGGUAAAAAAAUAGGUUUAGGCUGAUAAUGAUAAAUGUUGUAAUCCCGUCUAUCUGUGAAUACAAUUUCUGCUUCUAACCCUCCAUCUAAAAGUAAUGAAGGAUAUUGGGACAAAUAAAUAACCACUGUAAAUUACAGUUAAGUGAACUGUUGGAAGAAGCAGACAAAAGUUAUUUUAGGUGCAUUUAGAUGUUUGUAGGUACCCACAAAAUAACCUUCCUAUGUUGAGCCUAGGAAAGACAUAUUUGCUGUUUUUGAACAGCUUUGGAUUUUCUCAGUAAACUGUUCUCCCAGCCCUGCUAGUAACGUAAUUAGCAUUUAUCUAGCAAGUGAGAGUGGCUUAGGCAGUAUCUUUAACCUCCAGAGACAAUAGAAAAUGGGGGUUUACAAAGGCUCAGUACUAUAAUGCACUUAUACAAAGAAAGAGUAUUUUGGGGGUUGAAGCAAACUGGGCAGCAAUUCACGUAAAACUUUCUAGAAUGUUUACAAAUAUGUAAAUAAACCAGGAGGAGAAGGCUUUAAACCAUUGUUAAUAAUCAAAAGAGACAGUAGAUGGCAUAAGAGACUUGAAAAUUCAAUGUGGAAAAGUGUUCUCUUCUUCAACAUUGUGCCAUGUAUCCUGUUUUAGCACCAAGACCUCCACUGUGUGAAUUCCCCUGGUCUCUUAUUCAUAAGUUGCACUUUAGUUACACACAGCACAUUUGUUUUUUAGUUUACUUACUAACCACUUAUUCAAACAUUGAUGAAAUCCUGACCCCAUUAAGGUAAAUGGGAGUUUUGUCAUUGACUGCAAUGGGGCUGCGAUUUCACUCAUUUUUUAAAGGUGUUAUUAUGAAGUGUAGGCAUUUAAUUUCCAGCAGCAACCUGAUCUUAAGUACACCUUUUACCCCAAUGUAACGCGACCCGAUAUAACACGAAUUUGGAUAUAACUCGGUAAAGCAGUGCUCCGGCAAGGUGGGGCUGUGCACUCUGGCAGAUCAAAGAAAGUUCAUUAUAACGCAGUUUCACCUAUAACGCAGUAAGAUUUUUUGGCUCCUGAGGACAGCGUUAUAUCGGGGUAGAGGUGUAUUUCUUCCUCUCCUGUCAUCCUGGAUCCCUUGUCGCUGGCUGCAGUACAAUAUCAUACUUUCUCAAAAUGCCACCCGUUGUUCUUUCAAACUAAUGAAUCAACAGGAACCUAAUAGAAGCAUCUGAUUGGACCAAACUGUUUUAUCACCUUUGUUCAGGAAUGAAAAGAAUCUGUUCAGAUCAACCUUUUCCCUCUUUCACUUUAAUUUAAUGAUCUAAAUAUUUUAGACUCAUUACAAAUAGGUGAGUUUUAAUCAAAACUGAACACAAGCAAAUCAAACAUGCUGUUUUGAUUUCUCCAAAUGUCUAGUUGUUUUAAAAUGUGUUGAAUCCUGAAAAUACAAACCCUUUUCUUAUCAUUAAAAUAUACCACAUUUGGUAAUGAGACCUAUUGGAAAAAUACCUUAAUUUCUAUCAUCAUGGACUAAAUUGUGUAACGUGUACAAGAAUAAAUAUUAGUAUCUAAGUAUUAUGAACUCCAUGGAGUAGGUAGGCAUUGUUGUCUGCAGAUGGAGAAAAUGGGGCCGAAAGACCACCAGACUUGCCAAAGGCCACACUGCAAGUCAGUGUUAGAGCCAGGGUUAGACGUCAGGACCUCCUUCCAGCCCUCGUUUCGUUACACAAGUGCAAUGAAAGUAAAGAAUAGAGGGGUGAGAACCCCUCAGUGGUCUUGGUGGGCUCUAAAAUGUCAGCAGCAUACUUGUUACAGCUGCUGUACCCCAAAAAAUCAGCGAACCGAGAUUCAGGGUCCAAACAUUUGCUAAACACACUAUAACAGAUUCAAAAGUGAGGGAGCAAAGUACAAGGUUACAGCUUUUAUAUUUUCUGUUUGUUUAUUAUGGGUAAAGGGGCUAGAACACAAGUCAGUAUAUGAUGAAUAAAGCAGCAGAAAAGGCAGAUGAACAAAGAAACUCACGAAGAAGCAGAAGAACUGUGUGAAUAGCGAGGGCUGUCAGUCUAUCUGAAGACAUCAGAGCUGGUGACCUUGCUGCACUUACAUGCCAUGAAGAGCAAUGGGGUUCCUACCCCAAACGGGUCCAGAGAAGUCCCUUUUUCUCCUACAGGGCAUAGAGACCAAGCAGAUGGUUCCCCAGAUGAUCCAGCAGAGGUAGCAGUGAUGUUGAGAUGUUUAGACCUGUGGAGGCUGGAGUGGAAAGGCUGCUUGUGAAGGAAAGGUGGAAGAAACUGGAGGCCAGGGAUCAGGAAAGUGGAGGCAGAGCUGGAGCAAUAGAAGCUUGCUGCCCGGAACAAACAAGCAGCUUAAACAGUCAAGUCAUGCCCAUGGGACCCAGGAGGAAGGACAUAAGGGUGUGCCUGAUCAGGGGCAAUAUGGGUAUGAUGGAUGCCAUUGCUCUGCCUGUAGUCUUCAGCAUUAUGGCCACUGAAGGGUUUUCUGGUUGUUGGAGUGUGGGACGUUUUUCUUGUGUUAUUUUCUGUAAUGAAGUAAAUGGGUUAAACUCUCAGGUCUCAGGUAGAAGCCUAUGAGGGCCAGAUUCAGUGGGUGGGGGGGGGGGAAAUUGCUGUCUACCCUUGCCUGGGAAACUGAGUUGGAGGUAAAUGUGGCUGUGGCACAGCGAAAAGGUGCUGUGGUCCAGAAUCUGCUAGGAGCAGUCUCUUAGCGUAUGUGCAACGUGCCUUAGGAUUCAUCACCAAAUUUGGUCCACUUAUUGGAUCAUUAACUUCCUUGGCCCGAGCCAGGCACUGAUGGGGAAUGUAACAUGAAUGCUGAGCCAUUGCCCCCUGGUAGGAGCAGUGAGACACUGCUAUGGCUAGGAAAUGCUGUGGGACAGGGUCCGCUGGCAACCCAGAAACUAGGCACAGCAGUAAAGCAAUGUGGGUGGCGCUGUGUGAUAAAAGUGCUGACAGAUUCAUGCUAUCUUGUGUAACCUCCCCUUUCCUCCCUGGAUUACUGAACAGCAGGCAACACUCACCUGGGUGCCUGAUGUUGACAGUAAAGGAGAUCCUGAGUAUCCCAGUGGUGAUAUUGGCUAAAUGGGAAUCCUCUAGCCACCCCUCUGCUGCAAUCCCUUUACAGUACUAGUAAUGGAAAUUAAUCUUGGAGGUACCUGCAUCUGGUUGGACCUUGUACCAUGCAUGCCUUGGGAGCCUCAAGGAAUUAACCUGAGCUAAUCUAUGCAAUGUGUCUACGUCAAAAGUACCAAUUAUAAACAAUAUGUGUCUAAUAUAAGCUUAGUUUAGAAUUAACACACCUUUACUUAACAACUUAAAAACCAUGAUAUUGCAGACAGAGAUUAAUUAAAAUGUCACAACCAAUUUAAAUCAGCAAGGGGCAGUUCAAUAUAUUAAUGCAGUUUACAGUAGAAAGUGAAACUUAUUUAACUUGCAUUUACACUAUCACCAUUUCCCCCACCUCUGUACGUGCGCGUCUCUGAAUUUCAGCUUCCUAAACACUUGCGUGGGUGCAUUUGAAGACAUGGGUGUAGUUUGAGGAGGUACAGGGAGGGUCUUGCUCCCCUAAAGAGAGGUGAGGCCUGGGGGAGGCAUGCGGGGUCCACUCCCCUCCCCUCAGCUUUCUGUCAGUGCUGAACUGCCCUGCAGGGCUUGUUUUGCUCAAUCUGGGGGGGGGGGGAGGGGGAGGGGAGGGAGCAGACAUGCCAAACCCGUGGAAAAAAAUGCAGCAAUCAGGCUUGUUUUUCGGCUUGUGAGUUGCUUGUUGGCUGGUUUUGGCUUGUAGCAUGUUGUAGUUUGUUGCUUAUUUUUUUUGAUCAGCUCCGGGCAAGCAGGGGCAAGGGGGAGGUGGGGCAAGCAGAGGCAAGGGGCAAGCAAGGGCAAGACGAGAGCGAGAGUCCGGGGUGCCCAGCAGGCCCACCACAGUCCCAGACUGCAGGCCAGGGGGAAUCUAGUCACUCAUUGGAGUUCUUAGGGAUUGUCUUAUAUUGGCCUUGUUUUGAAAUGGGAUUAGUUUGAUUUUCGGUUUAUUGGGAAAGGGUGCUUAUUUACCACAUGAUAGUUGGCAACUGUGUGUGGGAGGGGAGGGAAGAGCGGGGAGGGGGGGUUCUAUCCGUCCCACACUGUGCCUCUCCCCUCUGCUGGCAGGUCAAGCAGUGCAGCCAGGCAGCCCAGCGGGAUGGGGAACAGGACAGAGCAGCUGCUCCAGGUUACCACCUCAGCAGUUGGCCGCCACCUCUUGGGUCCUAGUUCUACCUGUUUCUUGUAUGAAUGCACACAGCAGACAGAGCAAAGGGAGGCAGGGUGGGGCUGGGGAAGAGACAGUGGAGAAAUAGGGGAUAGGACUGGGGAAAAAAAGGGGCUGGGAGAGUGGAUUAAGGUGCUCCCACCCCACCUAUUCCACUUGCGAUCCCCCCCUCGUUCUGUCCCCUCCACCUGCGGCUCGCUUGCAGCCCCACCCCUUUCUGCCCCUUCCCCAGGCCCACCCCUUUUCCAUCCAGGGCCCCCCCAUUCCACCACCCACUAAAACCCCCAUCCUGUUUGCACCUUUCUCCCCCUCCCACCACUGUGGCUCCCAGACUGGAGAAGCUUUGUCCCAGUUCCAUGGUCCCAGGCCUGCAGCAGGGAGUGAGAGCUCCUCCUGUCCCAGACCUGCAGCAGGGGAGUUUGGGUGCUGGGUCUUCCCUGCCACCCCUUGCGCUUCUGCAGGUAACCAGGGUUGGAGCGUCGGGGCUUUGCCUGCGCCACCGGCCCGUCUGCUCCCGGCACUUCUGCCAUGGGGCGUCCCCUGCCACCCUACCGAAUCUGCUGGGGAGGAGGGAGUGGGCUGGGUCUUUCCCCAUCCCACAGCUUCUGCUGCUGGUAGGGGUGCUGGGGUUUCCCCUGCUACCCCGCACCAGGGUUGUCCCGCCUGUCUGGCGCUUCUGGGAACUGGGGGCAGGUGCUGCUGCUGGAGCUUCCCCUAAUGCCCCAUGCUGAGGUCAGGCGCGGUGUGUGGGUGUGUGUGUGUGCUGGGGGCUGCCCUAGCAGUCUGGCACUUCUGGGGACCAGGGAGAGGGAGCUGCCACUGGGGAUUUCCCUGCCGCCCCACAGUGGAUUUACACUGGGGGUGGGAGAGCCCAUUUUUCCAGUUCCCACCAACUGGCCGGCAUCCCUGGGCAUGGACACUGUGGGCCCAGUGGAUAAUCCACCAUUGGAGUGGGGUGUCAUAAACAGAUAGCUAAGGGUUAAUGUCUCUUUCACCUGGAAAGGAGUAACCUGAAACACCUGACCAGAAGACCAAUCAGGAAACAAGACUUUUUCAAAUCUGGGUGGAGGGAAGUUUUGGGUGAGAGUUCUUUGUUCUUGUCUUGGGUCUGUCCCCUCUCGGCUAUGGGAAGGAUUUUUCUGUCUCCUGCUUUCUAAUAUUCUGUUUCCAAGUUGUGAGUACAAAGAUCAUAAAACAAUAGGGGUUAUUGGUUUUUUUUCUUUUGUAUUUACAUAUGUGUAGUUGCUGGAGUGUUUUGAAUUGUGUUCUUUUGAAUAAGGCUGUUUAUUCAUAUUUCUUUUAAGCAAUUGACCCUGUAUUUGUCACCUUAAUACAGAGAGACCAUUUUUAUGUAUUUUUCUUUCUUUUUACAUAAAGCUUUCUUUUUAAGA
Molecule: long non-coding RNA, 8934 nt
Organism: Gopherus flavomarginatus (Mexican gopher tortoise)
Lineage: Eukaryota; Metazoa; Chordata; Testudines; Testudinidae
Exons: 2
Source: RefSeq, a predicted model, not a curated record